AUUGAACGCUGGCGGUAUGCUUAAGACAUGCAAGUCGUGCGGUAGGGGCUUCGGCCCUGAGAGCGGCGGACGGGUGAGUAACGCGUGGGAAUCUGCCUGCUAGUGGGGGAUAGCCCGGAGAAAUCCGGAUUAAUACCGCAUACGCCCUAAGGGGGAAAGCCGCAAGGCGCUAGUAGAUGAGCUCGCGUAAGAUUAGCUAGUUGGUGAGGUAAAGGCUCACCAAGGCGACGAUCUUUAGCUGGUCUGAGAGGAUGGCCAGCCACAUCGGGACUGAGACACGGCCCGGACUCCUACGGGAGGCAGCAGUCGGGAAUAUUGGACAAUGGGCGCAAGCCUGAUCCAGCAAUACCGCGUGUGUGAAGAAGGCCUGCGGGUU
This 376-nucleotide ribosomal RNA is filed under the name uncultured bacterium. RNAcentral's name for it is "bacterial SSU rRNA". It matches the Rfam family "Bacterial small subunit ribosomal RNA", at positions 30 to 424 of the family's 1533-position model. The record is from RNAcentral.